Molecule: ribosomal RNA, 1608 nt
Filed under: Triticum aestivum (bread wheat)
Lineage: Eukaryota; Viridiplantae; Streptophyta; Magnoliopsida; Poales; Poaceae
Description: partial small subunit ribosomal RNA
Source: RNAcentral
AUGACGACGGGAGGGCGCGCGGUGCUCCUACUGCCGCUUCUGGUGGCCUCGGCGCUGUUCGCGCAGAUCCGCGCGUCGGAUCCGCUGUUCCACGAGUCCUUCGACGAGGGCUUCGAGGGGAGCUGGGUCGUCUCCGGCAAGGAAGAGUACUCAGGUGUAUGGAAGCACGAGAAGAGUGAUGGCCAUGAAGACUAUGGUCUCCUUGUCAGUGAGCCAGCCAGGAAAUAUGCCAUAGUCAAAGAGCUUGAUAGCCCUGUUACUUUGAAGGAUGGGACAGUUGUCCUGCAGUUCGAAGUGAGGCUUCAGAAUGGCCUCGAGUGUGGAGGUGCUUAUCUUAAGUACAUUCGCCCUCAGGAGGCUGGAUGGGAUGCCAAGGAAUUUGACAAUGACACUCCUUACACAAUUAUGUUUGGUCCUGACAAGUGUGGUUCAACGAACAAGGUUCACUUCAUCCUGAAGCACAAGAACCCCAAGACUGGCAAAUAUGUUGAACAUCACCUCAAGUCCCCACCCUCUGUCCCAUAUGACAAGCUCUCUCAUGUCUACACGGCUAUCUUGAAGCCGGAUAACGAGGUCAGAAUUUUGGUUGAUGGGGAGGAGAAGAGCAAAGCAAACUUCCUGUCCGCUGACGAUUUUGAGCCAGCACUUAUUCCAUCAAAGACCAUUCCUGACCCUGAUGACAAGAAGCCAGAGGACUGGGACGAGAGAGCUAAAAUCCCUGACCCAGCUGCAGUGAAGCCCGAUGACUGGGAUGAGGAUGCCCCAACAGAAAUUCUGGAUGAGGAGGCCACCAAGCCAGAAGGAUGGUUGGAUGAUGAGCCUGAGGAAGUUGAUGACCCAGAGGCUGCUAAGCCCGAAGACUGGGAUGAUGAGGAGGAUGGCGAAUGGGAGGCACCGAAGAUCGACAACCCCAAGUGUGAAGAGGCACCUGGAUGUGGUGAAUGGAAGAGGCCAAUGAAGCAGAACCCUGCCUACAAGGGCAAGUGGCAUGCACCCCUGAUUGACAACCCUGCCUACAAGGGAAUCUGGAAGCCCCAAGAAAUCCCCAACCCAGAGUACUUUGAGCUUGACAAGCCUGACUUUGAUCCGAUUGCCGCUAUUGGAAUUGAGAUCUGGACAAUGCAGGAUGGCAUCCUUUUUGACAACAUUCUUAUCGCCGAUGAUGAGAAGGUAGCCACAGCCAUCUUGGAGAAGACCUGGAAGCCCAAGUUUGAUGUUGAGAAGGAAAAGCAGAAGGCUGAGGAGGCUGCAGCAGCCGAUUCAGAGGACCUUUCUGAGUUCCAGAAGAAGAUAUUCAGCGUUUUGUACAAAAUCGCUGACAUUCCAUUCUUGGAACCUUACAAGAUCAAGAUCAUUGAUAUUAUUGAGAAGGGAGAGAAGCAGCCCAACAUUACAAUUUCGAUCUUGGCCUCAGUUGCUGUCAUCCUUGUUACUGUGCUCUUCAGAACCAUUUUCGGUGGCAAGAAGCCAGUGGCACCUGUGAAGCCCGUUGCCGAGGUCAAGAAGCCCAAUGCCACGGAAGCUGAUGCCGCUGGAAGCAGCGGCGACAAGGAGGAGAAAGAGGACGACACCACCGCACCACGCAGAAGGUCGAGAAGGGAGACAUAG